CGUGUAGGCGGCCAAACAGGUCCGUUGUGAAAACUGGAGGCUCAACCUCCAGACGUCGACGGAAACCGUAUGGCUAGAGUCCGGAAGAGGAGAGUGGAAUUCCUGGUGUAGCGGUGAAAUGCGCAGAUAUCAGGAAGAACACCUAUGGCGAAGGCAGCUCUCUGGGACGGUACUGACGCUGAGACGCGAAAGCGUGGGGAGCGAACA
RNAcentral lists this ribosomal RNA (207 nucleotides) under uncultured bacterium. Its description in RNAcentral is "partial 16S ribosomal RNA". It matches the Rfam family "Bacterial small subunit ribosomal RNA", at positions 568 to 774 of the family's 1533-position model. The record is from RNAcentral.